Molecule: long non-coding RNA, 615 nt
Filed under: Ananas comosus (pineapple)
Lineage: Eukaryota; Viridiplantae; Streptophyta; Magnoliopsida; Poales; Bromeliaceae
Description: long non-coding RNA (ACOM_LNC024584)
Source: RNAcentral
AACUUAAUCCCACCCCUAUUUAAUUUUUUAAUAUAAAUAUUAAUUUUAAUUUUAAAAUUUAAAAUUUUAAAAAUUUAUAUUUUAAUUUUAAAAUUAAUAAUUAUUUUUUAAAAUUUAAAAAUUUUUAAAAUUAUUAUUUUUAAUUAUUUAAAUUUUAAAUUUGAUAUUUUAUAUUUGUAACUUUAAAUUUUUUAAUUUGAGAUUUAAAAAUAUAGAUUUUAAUUUUAAAUUUUGAAUUUUAAAUUUUAAAUUAUUAUUUUUAAUUAUUUUUAAAUUUUAAAUUUGAUAUUUUAUAUUUGUAACUUUAAAUUUUAAAUUUGAGAUUUAAAAAUAAAAAUUUUGAUUUUAAAUUUAAAUUUAAAAAUUAAAAAUAUUAUUUUUAAUUAUUUAAAUUUUAAAUUUAAAUUUAAAUAUAAAAAUUAGUACAAAAUUAUUAUUUUCUAUUUAUAAUAAUCCAGUAUCCUUCUUAUCCCACCUAUUUCAACCAAACACUAUUUUAUCUAUACCUAUACUAAACCUAAUUUUCAACCAAGCAUAAAAUUACUUUAACCCGACUUUAAACCUAAAUUUAAUUUUAUUUAUGAAAUAACUAAUUUUUAUUUAAUUCCGAACCAA